GUAGUUCCCUGAAGGAUAUCUGGGAGUUGUAGGCUGGGCUGCAGUGCAUGAUGGGAGACAGGAAGUAAGAUAUAAGAGAGCUUUCCUUAGUGUGGAAGGAGAGAAGUGGAGUACCUUCAGAAGGGGGAAAGGCCUAUGGGGAGCUAAGAUGUAGCUGGACCCUGGAGAGGUAUAAAGUAAGAGAAUGAAAAAUGCAGUGAUACAAUAUAGCAGUGUUGUGAGUAGACAGCAACUGUAGGCACUGAUCCCUGUUUAGUGCUGGGGCUUCCAGAAACAGUGGGAGGAAACCCCUUAAUAAAGUGGGGAGAUGAGGACCGGCCCUUGUAGAAAGAUUGGCUUGUUCUGGAUGGAUUCAUAUUGAUUUGGCUAGAGGAUCAAAUCAUUCUACCAGUCUGGGGAAGACCAGCAGCAAGAGGGAAACCGAGGCACCAGCUGCAACCUGAUGCUGGCACAAGAAACGAAGUUUUGUCAAAAUCGACACGUUCCUGCAGCAAGAUUCAGUUUCGACAAAAUGCAUUUUACAGCAGAAAAAUGUUCAGUCAGAAAAUUUUUUUGAUCAGCUGUACUCAAGACUAAAGCAUGAUUUGCUCUGGGGACCUUGGUCAGAAGAGUGGCUCUUGUUAGCAGACUGAGGAAUCAGGUGCCUGAGACUGCUUGAAACUGAACCAGCUUUCGUGCGCACCUUCUGCGUGAUAUAAAGUGGCAUCUAUGCAAAGUAUUUAGAAUACUGUUCAAAUUUCUGUGCCUUCCUUUGAGUACAAAAUAGAAUCAUAUUCUGUCUGCAAACAAAGCAUUUGCAAUCAACCUCUCCACUUCAAGGCAUAUUUUCAGCAUAAUAGCUUCGCAGUGCAAGUCCUUGUCAGAGAGAGUGGAUCAGAAGUCCAGGUGCACAAAGAGAGGAGAGAGAGAAUCCAUCACCCUCAUCAGAGAAGAAGGGAAACAGCCAGUUUAGCUGCAAAAGGAGUGGGAGAAACACGGUCAGGUCACACAGAAUUCCUCUUCACAAGAAAUGGAGACCCUGCUGAGCUAUUUCCCAGCCAGAGCCCCAGAAAUCAGUUCUGAUGUCACUGUAACGUUAGAUGCCUGAUUAAAUCAGUCUGAAGGACAACUAUAUUAGAGUCUUGCAUAAUGUAACACAGAGAUGAUUCAAAGGAAUGGCAUCCAAGAUUGCAUGAAUAAGAGUGUAGACAUCACCCACUGGGAACUGUCAGUGCUAUCUUCAGCAGGUUUUCAAACAUCAAGUAUCCUGCAAUCGUCUUCCCUUUGUGAGUGUUUUGUAAAGGCCAGAUUGUUUCAACUUUGAUUUUACUAUCCAGGAAGAAUGGCAGGGUUCUGCAUUCAGUUUAUCUUGCUGUAAACAACCGCACGAAGUUCAGCACAACAGUGGACCAGGGCCAUUGAAUCUAAAGCUUGAGUCAGAACAUAUUCAGUUGGGUUCGAUAUGGUGUGAAGUGGGCUAUUCCCAUAUUUGUAUUUAGACUCAACCACUGUGCUCAUAGCUGACUAGCACUGGUUAAGCUUAUAAAACUCAUGCACAGUUAAGGCUAACAUCCUAAAAUGAAUCUGACUUGUUUCUGUCAAAAGAAAAUCAAUGGUUUCAUUCUCCCAUAACCUCACAGUUCUGUUUAACAAUCCAAACAUUGCUGCUGUUUUUAAAUUCAUACCACAUUAGUAGUCCUUCAGGUUCUUAUUAAGGUAUUUGAUCCAUUAUUUAUUUUUAUAAUAUGCUCUGAUCUCUAAAGUUAAGAAAGAAAGUCGAGGAACAUAACAUAGGCCCUAAUCUUGCAAGGAUCUCCGUGAAGUUAGCCCCGUAUGUCUUUCAUGUGAUACUCCUGAGCGCAUUCUGCACCAAAAAAAUAAAAAGUCUGCACC
Mauremys reevesii (Reeves's turtle) is the source of this 1872-nucleotide long non-coding RNA. RefSeq lists it as uncharacterized. NCBI's taxonomy places the organism in Eukaryota, Metazoa, Chordata, Testudines, Geoemydidae. The transcript is spliced from 6 exons. The record is from RefSeq and is a predicted model, not a curated record.